GCCGUGUGGUGUAGUGGUCAAGUGCUUGCACUGCCACUCAAAUGGUCAGGAGUUCGAGCCCCCUGGGGGGCA
RNAcentral lists this transfer RNA (72 nucleotides) under Sphaerodactylus townsendi. Its description in RNAcentral is "tRNA-Gly". The record is from RNAcentral. Lineage: Eukaryota; Metazoa; Chordata; Lepidosauria; Squamata; Sphaerodactylidae.